This 252-nucleotide ribosomal RNA is filed under the name uncultured archaeon. RNAcentral's name for it is "partial 16S ribosomal RNA". It matches the Rfam family "Archaeal small subunit ribosomal RNA", at positions 748 to 999 of the family's 1478-position model. The record is from RNAcentral.
CAGCCCUAAACGAUGCGCGUUAGGUGUAUCGGUGACCACGAGUCACCGAGGUGCCGAAGGGAAACCGUGAAACGUGCCGCCUGGGAAGUACGGUCGCAAGGCUGAAACUUAAAGGAAUUGGCGGGGGAGCACCACAACGGGUGGAGCCUGUGGUUUAAUUGGACUCAACGCCGGGAAGCUCACCGGAUAAGACAGCGGAAUGAUUGCCGGGCUGAAGACCCUGCAUGACCAGCUGAGAGGAGGUGCAUGGCG